GGAACAUCUAACCAGGUAGAAGCACGAUCAUAAUAGCCUAUGAAAGAGAAAAAGAUGUUAACCCCUUCAUCUCCUGAAUCAACCUGGUGAACCUUCUCGGCACUGCCUCCAAAGCCAGUAUAUCCUUCCUCAAGAAUGGAGACCAGAACUGCACACAGUACUCCAGAGGAAACAUGAAUACUGAAAGACCGAGAUACAGUGGACAUAGAAAGGAUGUUUCCAGUAGUGGGAGAGUCCAGGAACAGAGGGCACAGCCUCAGAAUAAAAGGACAUCCCUUUACAGCAGAGAUGAGGAGAACCUUCUUUAGCCAGAUGGUGACAGCCACAAAACAAAGAAACACAAUGGAACCCAUUCAAAGGAAACAUCAAACACCCAACAUGCAAAAUAAAGAACAAAUCACGCAAAUGGCAAAAAGAGUGAAAGCACAUAAUAUAAAACAUCAAACUACAGAGUCACUGAAACAGUCGAAGAAUGUUCAGCUUAGUUCAGAUCAUCUCAAUGUAGCACUGUAACAUUCGUUGACUACAGGCCAUAGAGCCAGUCCACCCCGAUCAAAGUUACACAAAAUAGCAAUGAAAAAGAAGUAAACAGAAACCUGAAGUACAUAUGUAUAACAUGAACUUUGGAGUGCAAUCCACAAACCGUGUCAAUUAAAUCGUGCCCAAGACCUAAGACUCUGGCACUAUCCUCCAGCAGCAUGGAGUGAGAGGGAGAGAAAGACUGGUCAAACACAGGCAGAUGCUGCUGAACAUCCGCUCACCUUCCGCACAUCUUCAUUAAUUUCAAUCUUGCUUGACGCUUUAAUCUGCGAGUUGGAGAAUUAACAGGAAAAAGUUCCCUGGUCCCGACCGCUUCAUUUUCACUAUGGAUGUCCAAUCCUUAUACACUUCCAUACCCCAUCAAGCAGCCCUCAAAGCCCUCCACUACUUUCUGGACAAUAGACCUCACCAGUUCCCCACCACCAUCACCCUCCUCUGGUUGGUGAAAUUGGUACUCGCACUUAAUAACUUCUCUUUUGGUUCUUCCCACUUCCUUCAGACCAAGGGUGUAGCUAUGGGCACUUGCAUGGGCCCCAGCUAUGCCUGCCUCUUUGCUGAUUAUGUGGAACAGUCUAUGCUCCAAACCUAUACCGAUACUGCUUCCUAACUUUUCCUUCGCUACAUUGAUGUCUAUAUUGGUGCUGCUUCCUGCAUCCAUGCUGAGCUCGUCAAUUUUAUCGACUUUGCUUCUAACUUCCACCCAGCCCUCAAAUUCACUUGGUCCAUCUCGGACACCUCUCUCCCCUGUCUCGAUCUCUCGGUCUCCAUCCCUGGAAACAGACUGACCACUGACAUCUUCUACUGUAUAAGCCCACUGACUCUUGUGACGAGAAUACACAUAGAUAAGAUGUUAGCUGUCCUGUGUGAUCAGCAGUUGGUCUGCCACCUGUCUUCAAGAGAGAGAUAAGGGACACAAUGAAACAGCACCUGGAGAUAUGUAGAGAGCUGUCUGGAGCGGCUCCCCCUUUGAACCCUGAACUGUUUGAAGUGAUGGACAGGCGAUACCCCAGCAGGGGGAUAAAAAGGGACCAGUUCGCUAAGGCAGGACACACGACACCCGAGGUAACGAGACCCUGGAAGCGGUGCGCCUCUCACGAGUCGGUGGGAAGUAUCGGACAACGCACAGGGUGGAAAGGUACGAUCAGCGGGAACCCGGUGUGUGUCCGCCCUUGCUUGGGUGUCGGGUUCACUGCAGAGGAUCGACCGUAUCUGGAGGAGGGGUCACAGUCGGUGACCUCAGGUGACAUCACCAAGGACCUGCCCAAAAGCUGCUUGUGAGCAAUUAUCGCCGGUCUGUGAGUGGAAGCCGUGUUUGAAUGAUCAGUCGUUCCCGUUCUCUCUCUCUCUCCCCCCAUGUUGUCCAUCGCCAUGGCAACGAUUACUGCGAACUGAACUAAAUUGGACUGAACUUUGUGUCACUUUGAAAUUGGUCAUUUAUCCCUAGACAAUGAUAGAGUUUGAUUGAUGCUGUUAUCUUAAUUCUGUGCACAUGUGUGUUUAU
This is a long non-coding RNA of Mobula hypostoma (lesser devil ray), 2041 nucleotides long. RefSeq lists it as uncharacterized. The transcript is spliced from 4 exons. NCBI's taxonomy places the organism in Eukaryota, Metazoa, Chordata, Chondrichthyes, Myliobatiformes, Myliobatidae. The record is from RefSeq and is a predicted model, not a curated record.